UGGGGAAUAUUGGACAAUGGGGGAAACCCUGAUCCAGCAAUGCCGCGUGAGUGAUGAAGGCCUUCGGGUUGUAAAACUCUUUUAUCAGGGACGAUGAUGACGGUACCUGAUGAAUAAGCUCCGGCUAACUUCGUGCCAGCAGCCGCGGUAAUACGAAGGGAGCUAGCGUUGUUCGGAAUUACUGGGCGUAAAGGGCGCGUAGGCGGUUUAGUAAGUCAGAUGUGAAAGCCCCGGGCUUAACCUGGGAACUGCAUUUGAUACUGCUAGACUAGAGAUCGAAAGAGGAGAGUGGAAUUGCGAGUGUAGAGGUGAAAUUCGUAGAUAUUCGCAGGAACACCAGUGGCGAAGGCGACUCUCUGGUUCGAUACUGACGCUAAGGCGCGAAAGCGUGGGGAGCAAA
RNAcentral lists this ribosomal RNA (400 nucleotides) under uncultured bacterium. RNAcentral describes it as "bacterial SSU rRNA". It matches the Rfam family "Bacterial small subunit ribosomal RNA", at positions 355 to 772 of the family's 1533-position model. The record is from RNAcentral.